Molecule: long non-coding RNA, 438 nt
Filed under: Nicotiana benthamiana
Lineage: Eukaryota; Viridiplantae; Streptophyta; Magnoliopsida; Solanales; Solanaceae
Description: long non-coding RNA (NBEN_LNC006816)
Source: RNAcentral
AACGAUAGAUCCGGUCGGCGACCACUUCCUCCCUUCCUUGUUGUGUCAUCCCUAACCCCCUCCUUCGAUCGGUAAUUUCUUUCACACAAUUGUAUUGAACAUUCUAAAUUUUUCUUAGAUUUUGCAUUGAUUGUUCCUAUUUGCCUUGUGAGAUCUGAAAAUUUUCAGUCUUAAAUUUUCAUUGGAUCCUUUAAACUAGUAAUUCUUUAACAAUUGUCUUUAUUUAACCAGCGGCGACGCCCCACAUGGCGGCGUCCUGGACAUCGGUGGAUUAGGGACGAAAUUUGGGGCUGAGGAACUUGAAGAGGUUGUUACCUUUUUUCAUUGUAUUUCAAUGUAUCUCGUUGUAUUUCACGUAUUUUAUUUGUAUUCACUAUUUUUUUUCUAUUGUAUGUAAAUGUAUCUAGUUGUAUUCCAUGUAUUUCAUUAUACUGUCUC